Triticum aestivum (bread wheat) is the source of this 3714-nucleotide RNA transcript. It is a transcript of the gene named dolichyl-diphosphooligosaccharide--protein glycosyltransferase subunit 1A, with no coding region annotated. NCBI's taxonomy places the organism in Eukaryota, Viridiplantae, Streptophyta, Magnoliopsida, Poales, Poaceae. The transcript has 7 exons. The record is from RefSeq and is a predicted model, not a curated record.
UAAGGAGGGUUGUUCGCGCGUGCCACGUGGGCGGGGGCGUACUGUGCGGCGCAGCCAAUGGAAGGAGCGGAGGUCUCGCGCUAUCAGCAUUGAGCCGUCGAGAGAGAGAAAAAAGGGGAAAGAGCGCCAGCCCCACGCCCCCACCAGCCCCAGAUUCGUUCCACAUCCCCCUAUUCCUCUCCCUCUCCGUUUCCUUCCUACCGCCGCCACCACCUGCGACCUCCCCGCAGCCGCCGCGACCGCCGCCACCGCCUGCGACCUCCCCGCAGCCGCCGCGACCCCUGGGAACCCUCUCGCUGAUGCCACGUCCUGACCUAGCGAUUGGGUGAGAAAAAGUUGCCUUCGCAUAGAAGCCAGCAAAUCCCUUUCCCGAGGCGCCCUUCUCUCGUCCUUCCCCUAUCGCACAGAGCGGCUACACAGAGAGAGACCCCCACCGCCGCUGCACACCACCAUCGUCCUCCCCUCACCUAGGCCCCAGAUCGAGCAGGCAACGCGGCGCUUGCAGACCCGCGACGGGCGGAGUUCUCGCGCCGCCGCCGGCUCCUAUCCCGUGCGUCCAGCCCUACUUCGUGCACGGGGCGAAACAGUCGCCGCUGCCGGAGCGGCCCUCGGCAGCGAGGAGGCCCAGGUAGACAUGGGGCUAGUCGCCAGUUCCCGAUCCCGCGUGCUCCAGCCCCUGCUACGCGCACGCGACGAAACGGCCGCUGCUGUCGGAGUGUCCUUCGGCGGCGAGGAGGCCCAGGGAGACAGGCCGGCGGUGACGCUCGUACUCCUUCGCGCAGCCACUCCGACGACGGCCAGGAUUGUUGCUGUCUCUGUUCCUUGAAAUCCCAUACAUGCCCGCGUCCAAUUUGUGCUCGUCGUCGCCUUCCUACAAUAGCUACGGAUCUGCAGACCCCUGGAGGUUGGAGGAGGCCUUGGGGAAUGGGGAUGAUGAGCGGCCAGCUGUCGGCAAAACCCCACUGUCAUCUCCCAUAUCCUGCCGUUGGCAAUGUGGACCAUGGAGAACGCGAGGAAGAUUUGGUCUACCCAAUGCGGCGAUGAGGCGUCUGAUGAACGAAUAGUCUGUCUGAUUGGAGGCUCUGCGGAAGAAGAACAUGGAGAACACCUCUCUUCCUUUACAUCUAAAAUUGAAUUUACAGGUGAUCGAUUCAUGAAGUUCAAGUGUUUAUCAAAUUGAAUGCAAGGGUGAUUAGGAUUUUACAGGAUUAUAUUUGCUUAUUGUCAUAAUAUUUAAACUACUGAUGAUGUUCUAGAAUGUUAUUUGGUAUUCCUUUCAGCUAUGAAGUGGUUACUUUUAAUGUGUUGUUGACAAAGGAACCUACCACUUUGAUGAUUUGGUAUUAGAAUGAAACAGACUUGCAAUUUCAGUUUGCAUCUAACUCUGAUGCUUAUGGUUUUGAAGUACAUCUAAUGCUUAUGGUCUUGAAGUACGUAUCACUGCACAGUUAUUAACAUAUGACUCAUACAAAACUUGAUGAAUUGCAGAGUUAUAGUUUCAUGAUUUCAUAAUAUACUUAAUUCAAAAGUUUGGCCUCUAUUUGACGAGCAGGUUGUCUUAGAAAAUCGACAGCUGAAAGUGACUAUUUCAAUUCUUAUAAUCAAGAGCUACAAACUUCUUCUAGCUCCAAAACGAGGCAGGUAAUGCAACUUAUGCAAGUAAGUGGAGGAUGCCCAAAAGAUUCAGAAGGGUGUGAUGACUGCUUUGAAAAGGCAUCACUUCCUAACAUAAGCGAAGAGGAGAAAAGGAAGAUCCUUCACUUUGUGAUUAUUGGUAGUGGACCCACUGGGGUUGAAUUUGGUGCAGAGCUGCAUGUUUUUCUUAUCGAAGAUAUGGUGAAGCUAUAUCCUGCAAUUGAAGAAUUUUUGAAGAUAAGAAUUAUUCAGCAAGGAGAACAUAUAUUGAAUAUGUUCUCUUAGAAAAUCAACAACUGAAGGAGAAUGUUUUAAUUCCUAUAAUCAACGGUACAAAGUGGAAGUGGCUGCGAGCACACCACCGUCCGUGCACCUGUCCUUCCUCACUCCAACAUCAGAUGACCCAUCGACCAUGGCCAUUGUCCCAUGCGUGGCCAAUAAAUUUUACACUGCUGAGGGGAGCGACCAGCUCGUGGUUGUGGUGUCUGGUUGCUCCAUCUGGGGUUUGGCGUUUUUUGAACAGGUUGAUUUGACUCCGCAUAGCGUCUGCGUCCUCACCUCGCUCAAGGUUAAAAAUGUUGGCUUGGAGCCUAUCCCUAAAGUCUUGCUGGCUUUUCUGAACAUCCAAGCAAAAAACAUGGCAGUGAUCAGAGCAUUUGGUACUGAGGGAAAAGUGAAGGGUCUGAGUAGUGUUCUUUCAAUUGAAGUUGUUGAGCCUUCUGGUGUGCCCCCAGAACCGGCUUUCUUUCAGCAUCAUUAAACAAAGCUUUGAAUACUAUGCUAGCAGUUUGUAGUUGUGCUCUAAAUACAUGUUCCCCUACUUGUAAUCGCCACUUUUUGUUUGUUUCUGCAUUAAUUAGUGGAUCUAAGGUAGUUAGACACACAUUGACUAUAAUUGGUCAUCUCUACUAAGACAUGAGUGGCAUCAGGACACAUGUGCUACGAAUCAUAUCCAAAAGCAAUGAAAAGGGUGCCUACAACCUGGCGCCGCACAAGCUCCCUCUGAGGAGGCGCCACGGGGUGGCGCCCCAACUGCUAGUAUAUAUGCGUAUAUGCAUAUUCCCUGUGGAGGCACACACACGUACUACCCGUGUGAGCAUCUUCGAGAGACGUUUUCAUUGACAACGAGGCGUCUACGGUGACUUCGUAAAUGUAAGAUGGUAUGCCCGUGCAAUGUUGCUGUUAGAAAAAUUGCCGUCUUAAAAAAAAGUUCCCGUGCAAUGAGAUAAAACAAUAAUAAACAUAAUAACAUUUAUAAUGACUAGAAAAUUAUCCCGCAAAAAAUGACUAGAAAAUUAUCCAUGUGUUGCAACAGAGCAUAAAAUAUUAUUUUCUUUAACAGUAAUUGUCUCAAACAUGUAGUAUCACAUGAAUAGCGUGCCCCGAGCCUGCAAUAACUAGGGAUGGCAAUGGGUACCUAUUACGCAUGUACUUUGCGGGUAAAAACUCUAUUAGGGCAAGGGUAUGAGUAAAAAAAUACUCAUGAAUAUGUAAAUAGGAAAAUUUCACACCCAUUGGGUAUAGUGGGUACGGGUAUGGUUUAGUAUAACCCAUACUCAUGUAUCAAUGUACCCGCAUAUAUUCUGACAAAUAGACCUUACAUAUUAUUUAUUUACAUAUUAAACAUAUUAUAUGUACAUAAAUCCCGCAGCCCUAAAAAGCCCCGAUCAUGCAUUCAUGUUAGGCCACCUCACCACAAUAGUUAGCCCACGAACGAGUAUGCAUUGUUGUCAUGAUGUGUUGUUGUUUAUAAAUUAUUAUUAUUAUUAUAAGUUGUUGUUUAUGACUAUGUAAUGCUCCAAUUGAUGUGUUGUAAAUCUGGGCAAUUUUACCCGCGGGUACCCAUUUAUCUUGAUGGGUGACGGGUGAUGAGGAUAUCAAUACCAUUGUUACACCCACAGCCCCUAAUGUUAUACAUACUGGACCAAUUACUAGAGCUCGCGUACGCCAAUUGAAUUAUCAGGUACUUUCGUUUCUUGGUAACGAUUCUAAUGUUUAUAAGAAUAUGAUGCUGCCUAAAUUAGAUACAUUUGUUUUGCUUACAAAUGAAGGGCCUAGCUUGGACAAGAAAGAUGAACC